RNAcentral lists this ribosomal RNA (301 nucleotides) under uncultured bacterium. Its description in RNAcentral is "partial 16S ribosomal RNA". It matches the Rfam family "Bacterial small subunit ribosomal RNA", at positions 509 to 809 of the family's 1533-position model. The record is from RNAcentral.
CAGUCGCCACGGGAAUACGUAGGUGGCAAGCGUUGUCCGGAAUUAUUGGGCGUAAAGGGCUCGCAGGCAGUUUCUUAAGUCUGAUGUGAAAGCCCCCGGCUCAACCGGGGAGGGUCAUUGGAAACUGGGAAACUUGAGUGCAGAAGAGGAGAGUGGAAUUCCACGUGUAGCGGUGAAAUGCGUAGAGAUGUGGAGGAACACCGGUGGCGAAGGCGACUCUCUGGUCUGUAACUGACGCUGAGGAGCGAAAGCGUGGGGAGCGAACAGGAUUAGAUACCCCCGUAGUCCCUGUCUCUUAUAA